This 73-nucleotide transfer RNA is filed under the name Dactyloptena orientalis (oriental flying gurnard). RNAcentral describes it as "tRNA-Asn". The record is from RNAcentral. Lineage: Eukaryota; Metazoa; Chordata; Actinopteri; Syngnathiformes; Dactylopteridae. RNAcentral also lists the same sequence under 1 other name.
UGGACGGAGGCCCGCUGGCGAAGGCGCUCAGCUGUUAACUGAGAGGUUGAAGGAUCGAGGCCUUCCCGUCUAG